Molecule: small RNA, 318 nt
Filed under: Pongo abelii (Sumatran orangutan)
Lineage: Eukaryota; Metazoa; Chordata; Mammalia; Primates; Hominidae
Description: processed transcript
Source: RNAcentral
GGAGCCCAAGCCUCCGCCCCGGAUUCCGGAGUACCAGCUCCACCGCGCAUGCGCACACGCCCCAGACCCAGGCUCAGGAGGACUGAGAAGUUUCUGACCGCAGUGCACCAUGGGAAGCUCUGAGGUUUCCAUAAUUCCUGGGCUCCAGAAAGAAGAAAAGGCGGCCGUGGAGAGACGAAGACUUCAUGUGCUGAAAGCUCUGAAGAAGCUAAGCAUUGAGGCCGAUGAGGGCAAUAUCUUCUCUCUACACCAACGAUGGGGACAUGGAAGCUCUCGAGGCUGACCUGAAACAUCGAUUUACCCGACAGGAGUGGGACU